Long non-coding RNA from Centrocercus urophasianus (Greater sage-grouse), 550 nucleotides. RefSeq lists it as uncharacterized. The record is from RefSeq and is a predicted model, not a curated record. Lineage: Eukaryota; Metazoa; Chordata; Aves; Galliformes; Phasianidae. The transcript has 3 exons.
GAUCCCUCCUCUGGAGUUUUGCAGUGAGCCUGGGAUGUGGUUCGGCAACAUAAGCAUAACUGCUAGGGCUUUCAUUUGACUUUCAGCGUCUGAUACAAUAUCUGGAUAGAGUUGUUACUGUUGAAGAUGUUGAAGAGCACUGGGCCCAAGAUGGACCACUGGUGGAUACCAUUUUUCACCAGCCUCAACCUGGACACAGGUUGGCUGACUACAACACUGGCUGCAACAAUUCAAUCAAUGCAUUACCUACUGUAUACGCCACUCUUUUAAAUUCAUAUAUUUCCAAUUUAGAUAUAAAAGUUAUUGAAUCAGAUUAAAAGAAAAUGCUGGUUUUUGUUUUUGUUGUUGUUUUUGUUGGUUUUUUUUCCUUAGAACAAAAACUCCAGCUCGCAUAACUCUUGCAAUCUGCCUAUCGCACAUUAAUCUCUGUAAUUCACUUAUGGAUCCUUUGAAAGCUAACACAAUACUCAUAUGUAAUGGUGUACUAAUAUACAUUACAAAGUGUAUGUACUGCUUAGAAAUAAAUAAUAAUAAAAAAACAGCAUCAAAA